Molecule: ribosomal RNA, 464 nt
Filed under: uncultured bacterium
Lineage: Bacteria
Description: bacterial SSU rRNA
Rfam family: Bacterial small subunit ribosomal RNA
Source: RNAcentral
AGGACGAACGCUGGCGGCGUGCUUAACUCAUGCAAGUCGAACGGUAAGGCCCUUCGGGGUACACGAGUGGCGAACGGGUGAGUAACACGUGGGUGAUCUGCCCUGCACUUCGGGAUAAGCCUGGGAAACUGGGUCUAAUACCGGAUAGGACUCCUGGCUUCAUGGUUGGGGGUGUAAAGCUUUUGCGGUGUGGGAUGGGCCCGCGGCCUAUCAGCUUGUUGGUGGGGUAAUGGCCUACCAAGGCGACGACGGGUAGCCGGCCUGAGAGGGUGACCGGCCACACUGGGACUGAGAUACGGCCCAGACUCCUACGGGAGGCAGCAGUGGGGAAUAUUGCACAAUGGGCGCAAGCCUGAUGCAGCGACGCCGCGUGAGGGAUGACGGCCUUCGGGUUGUAAACCUCUUUCAAUAGGGACGAAGCGCAAGUGACGGUACCUAUAGAAGAAGGACCGGCCAACUACGUG